GAUACCACAAAACAAGGUAUGAAAGGAGGAAGGACCAACACUUAACAAAAAUUUGGGAAGUAAAUUCCAGUAAAGGCGUGCGAAAAGCGUACGUCGCAUGCUCUAUUCCGUAGUAAUAUGUGUGCAUAGAAUGAUACAUUCCUUUGUAAUAGAGGGUGCGCCGUAUGCUACACUCCAUCCCUGGGUGUUUUAUUCUAAUUCAAUUCCAACACGG
This 214-nucleotide long non-coding RNA is filed under the name Capsicum annuum. Its description in RNAcentral is "long non-coding RNA (CANN_LNC019098)". Lineage: Eukaryota; Viridiplantae; Streptophyta; Magnoliopsida; Solanales; Solanaceae. The record is from RNAcentral.